UUUCCGUAGGUGAACCUGCGGAAGGAUCAUUAAUGAGUUGUCAUGGGGUUCGAUGCUGGCAGCCAGUUUUUGGAUGCAUGUGCUUGCCCUAACAAUCAUCUUCUUCCAAACACCUGUGCACAUUUUUGAGGGAGUCUUGAAUUGGUUGCCGCUCUUGGGUGAUUUUCUCACAUUCCCUUAAAUCAUUAUACGCUAUUAACAAUGUUGAACGUGCUCUGUGCCGCAAGGCCAUUAAUAUAAUACAACUUUUAACAACGGAUCUCUUGGCUCUC
This 272-nucleotide unclassified non-coding RNA is filed under the name plant metagenome. RNAcentral's name for it is "partial contains small subunit ribosomal RNA, internal transcribed spacer 1, and 5.8S ribosomal RNA". The record is from RNAcentral.